CAUGUAGGCGGUUUGGUAAGCCUGGUGUGAAAUCUACGAGCUUAACUCGUAAACUGCAUUGGGUACUGCUAAACUGGAAUCACAGAGGGGAAAUCGGAAUUCCAAGUGUAGGGGUGGAAUCUGUAGAUAUUUGGAAGAACACCGGUGGCGAAGGCGGGUUUCUGGCUGAUGAUUGACGCUGAGAUGCGAAGGUGCGGGGAGCAAACAGGA
RNAcentral lists this ribosomal RNA (210 nucleotides) under uncultured Treponema sp. Its description in RNAcentral is "partial 16S ribosomal RNA". It matches the Rfam family "Bacterial small subunit ribosomal RNA", at positions 568 to 777 of the family's 1533-position model. Lineage: Bacteria; Pseudomonadati; Spirochaetota; Spirochaetia; Treponematales; Treponemataceae. The record is from RNAcentral.